CGUGCGGAUGACAUCACUUCCUGUUAUUCUUUCUCUUUCCCUCCUUAUCUCUUCCAGUUUUUUUCUGUCUUCCCCACGCCUCUUUUUUUUUUCUCUUUAGCCGGGUGGCCUUGGAGAUUUGUCUUUCUCCUACUUCUUCCCCACUAAGAGAAGGCAGUUAGCGUUCCUUUUUUCUCCCUCGCCUCCCCCCCUCAAGCUUCUUCCCUUGUAGUCUCCAUGGCUACCAGGCUCGGACUUGGUGCCUCUACCUGGGGUCACUAUGGCAACGAGACUCGAACUUGUCCAUCACGAGGAUUGGGGGGCGGGAAGGCAAGGAGGUUGCGUUUCUAUGGAAACGGAGGUUGGAGGUCGCCAUGGAGACGGGUUCAGCCAUGCCCACCAAGAAGACAUCGUAUCAGGACAAGGCACUUUAGGUGCCAGCGGGGGAAGGGAAGGAAGAAGUGGCUUCUGGCCCGGCUGCUUUGAAACUAAACGAAGAGGAAUUGGAAUGGAAAAACUAUAGAAAUAUGAGUUGUUAUUCAAGCUUUCCUUUCUCUAUCACUUUACAGUUUAUAAAGCCUCAACAAUCCUGUGAGGACAUACCAAAAUCAUUGUUUGAAGAAUUCCGGAAGUUUGGGGAUUUUUUUGUUCUUCCAAUGUACCUGGAGGUCUUAUUCCCACUGAGGGAGCAAUGAAUUCUGACAAAUAUUUGUCUACUAAGAAGCAGAAUUGUUCUGGAAUUACAUGUAUUCUGAAAUGGAGAUCGAAUGCUACACUAUAAUCUUGCAUUAUGCCACAUAUUAAGAACCAUGCCACAAAAUGUCAAGAAAUGUAUCCAGUGAUGGAAACACACAAGAUUCAGUGGCUUGGGAACUUGACUGAUUUAAGCUCAACUGAAAACCUAUGGGCUAUAAACAAAAUCAGACUUAGGGAAAUGUUGUUUGUCAAAGGUAUUGCCAAAUAUUGUAAAAUAAAUGAUUUCAGCUAAAGGAUAUAUGGCACAUUAAAAGUUUUUUUAAGAUGUAAAAA
Molecule: long non-coding RNA, 1008 nt
Organism: Phascolarctos cinereus (koala)
Lineage: Eukaryota; Metazoa; Chordata; Mammalia; Diprotodontia; Phascolarctidae
Source: RefSeq, a predicted model, not a curated record